Molecule: ribosomal RNA, 467 nt
Filed under: uncultured bacterium
Lineage: Bacteria
Description: partial 16S ribosomal RNA
Rfam family: Bacterial small subunit ribosomal RNA
Source: RNAcentral
ACGCACGCUGGCGGCGUGCUUCACCCAUGCCAGUCGCACGGAAAGGCCCUGCUUUUGUGGGGUGCUCGAGUGGCGAACGGGUGAGUAACACGUGAGUAACCUGCCCUUGACUUUGGGAUAACUUCAGGAAACUGGGGCUAAUACCGGAUAGGAGCUCCUGCUGCAUGGUGGGGGUUGGAAAGUUUCGGCGGUUGGGGAUGGACUCGCGGCUUAUCAGCUUGUUGGUGGGGUAGUGGCUUACCAAGGCUUUGACGGGUAGCCGGCCUGAGAGGGUGACCGGCCACAUUGGGACUGAGAUACGGCCCAGACUCCUACGGGAGGCAGCAGUGGGGAAUAUUGCACAAUGGGCGGAAGCCUGAUGCAGCAACGCCGCGUGCGGGAUGACGGCCUUCGGGUUGUAAACCGCUUUCGCCUGUGACGAAGCGUGAGUGACGGUAAUGGGUAAAGAAACACCGGCUAACUACGUG